This 2820-nucleotide long non-coding RNA is filed under the name Gossypium barbadense (sea-island cotton). RNAcentral describes it as "long non-coding RNA (GBAR_LNC009661)". The stretch from base 658 to 766 matches the Rfam family "mir-172 microRNA precursor family". Lineage: Eukaryota; Viridiplantae; Streptophyta; Magnoliopsida; Malvales; Malvaceae. The record is from RNAcentral.
UUGUUUUCUUUUAUGUGUAUUAUUAACUUGCCUAGAUCUUCAUUUAUCCAAUAAUCUCUGUUUUCUUUUCCUUUUCAAAAUGUUAAAGCCCUUUUUUUUUUUUCAUCUCUUAACCCUUUUUUGGGGGUUUGUUUAACUUUGAAGAUUGAAGAACCAUGAAAUAUAACAAGAGAAGAAAUUAAGAACCCUUUUUUCUCUUCUUUAUUUAUUUAUUUUGUUUUUUUUUUGGGUUUUCAAGGUAAGUUGAGUUGUCAACUUUACUCAACUUUGAUGUUUGAAAAAAAAAAUUGACCCACAAAUUUAAGAACCAUGAAAUCUAACAAGAAAGAAAAGUAUGUGGUACUAGUAGUUGGGAAGUGUGUUCUUUAUUUUUAAUAUUUCACAGACUUUUUUCUUGUUUUUGAAAGGUAAAGUCAUUUUUUUCUAUACAUAUUAACAUAUAAAAUCAUUUGUUUUUCAGAUUUUUGCUUAUUUUCAUGCCCUUUUCUUUUGUUUAGUAAAGCUAUACAUAUUUUCUGUAUUUAGGGUUUCGAUCCAUUUGUGAAAUGCCAAGUUGCCAUAUGCUAAAAACAAAUUCAACCCUUUGUUCUCUCUUUUCUUUUUUUCUUUUUUUUAAUUUCCUGGAAAUUUCACACUUAGUUUCAGAUUUAUCAGUCAUUUUUUGCUGAUGCAGCAUCUUCAAGAUUCACAUGCAAAGUAUAGUACGGCCAGGCCAUAGCUUUUGUUUGAAGCAUGAGAAUCUUGAUGAUGCUGCAUCGGCCAUUAAUGACUCCAUAACUCAUCCAUAAUGGAAAAAUCUUUAUAGAUCUUUCAAUUUUCCACAGCUUUUUUGGCAACCAUAAAAGGUAAAACUCCACUUAAUCCUAAUACCCUUAUUUUGGCUUCUUCUUUUAUUUAUAUAUAUAUGUGUGUGUGUGUGUGUGUCUGGUAAAAAAGCUGAAUUAAUAUUCGACUGCUGUUGUUUCUUUUUGCAGUACAUCACGAUGAUGAUGAUGACUUUUAAUUAUAUCAAAACACAUGAACUGUUUCAAUUUGAUGAAAUUAAGGUUAGAAGAAACUUAUAUAUGUAGUUUUAGAGAUUAUAAGUAUUAUUUCCCCCCCCUCUUCCGUACAACCCCAGUUUCUCUUUUUCUGUGUUUUAAUACUCGUGUUAGGGUUUUGAGAAUUUAGGGUUUCUUUUUAAUGCCCUUUAUCAGAAGCUUUUUUUUUUUUUGCGUUUUUGGUAUUAAUUUCUUGUAGUUCAUCCACAAACCUCAAAUGGGUUUCUUCUGAAAGGUACAAAUACUUAAUAGUUUUUUAAAAAAAUGAUCCUUGAAUCUCUUGUUUUUGCUAGUUUGAGAUCUAUUGUUGUGUUCUUAUUUUUGAAUUUUAGGAUAAAUUUCAUGGACCAAUAUUUCUCUUCAGUUCAGGCUUUUGUCAGCUUUCUUCUAAUCAUUUAAGGAAUCUGCAAUUUAAAAAAAAAAUAUUUUUUUUCAACAUAUGCACAUUAAAUCCUUGAGACAGAAAAAAAGACAUUAAUAAAAUAACAUAUUGUACUCCAUGUUCCUGAGUGGUUUGAGGAAGUAUAUAUAUGUAUAUAAUUGAGGCAAAUUCCCAGACUGAAACGUCCCACAUGCAAAACAUAAGAAAACAAAUUAUACAUACAAGCAUUAGCUGUAAGUCAGCAAAAAAAAUGGGAACCAAUAUGAUUCUAAAUUACAAAUCUGCAUUGCAUUAUCUUUCAAAAUAGCACAUGAUUAUACAUGGAGACAUCAUGGGGUAAAUGAUAUGAUGGACUUUGUUGUUUGGUACCUGAGAAAAUUAACUUCAAAUUUUCUUUUUCUUUUUUCUUGGAUAUCACGGGGGUAAAUGCUAUUGAAUCCAGAGCAAGACCCUGAGAAAGUAUAUAAUUUAAGAAACAUACUUUAGUUAUAAACUUGCCAUGAAGCUUUUGGGGAAUUAGCUUAUAGUGAAGUGAGAAAUGGUGAUAUGAAACCAUGUAUUUUGUGGAAGAAUUUUAAAAGCCAUAAUAAAAAGCAGUGGAGAAUGGACGCCUGCUGGUCGAGUGUACGGUAAGGAUUAGAGUUUUAACAAUGUGAAUGAAAAAAAAGUUAAAUCACUAUUUGAAUCCUCAAUUUUUUUCCAAUUUAAUCCUAAACUUAGUAAUUGUUUCCAUAUUGAGACUUAAACAAUUUUUUUCCAAGUUAGUAUUUGAAUUUGACAAUUGCUCACACAUUGAGGAUUGAACUUUAGGUUUUUCAAGAAUUUAUUAAUGGAUUAACUUGGACAAAAGAAAUUUAGACUUCAAUGUGAGAACAAUUGCCAAGUUCAGGACUAAUUUGAAAAAGAAAUUCAAGCCUCAAUGUAGGAAUAAUUGCUAAAUUCAGGGGCUAACUUGAACAAAAAAAAGUUUACCAAGUUCAGGGGUUGGGGGCUAAACUUUUUUUUUUCUAAGUUAGCUCAUGAACUUGAUAAUUAUUCUCAUAUUGAGACUUGAACUUCAAGGUUUUUAAGGUAAUAUCAAUGACUAACUUGGACAAACAAAGGUUAUAGCUUAAACGUGAGAUUGUCAAGUUCAUGGACUAACUUGAAAAAAAAUUAUAGAUCCGAUUCAAACACAAAAUAUUAAUUUAACCAAAAGAGUCUAGGAAAGCUUUAUCUUCUAUUUAAAAAAAUUGACCCGAUUCUAUUGAAUUUAGUCAAAACCGAAAGUAAUUAUGGGUAUCAACUAUAUACAUAUAAUUAUAUAUAUAAAGUGGUGGCAUUUAGUGACAAAAGCUAUUAUGUCAUUUUUGACAAUGGAAAUGAAAGUGUGAUUUGAAUCAUUCCUUCUUCAAACAG